AUGUGGGCGAAACUUCAGGAGAGAAUGCUUCUGGAACAUGGCCAUACAGCCUGGAAAGCUCACAAUGAUCCAGUGAUUCCGGUCAUGGAAGCCUUCAACAACACAAAUUGUUACAGUAUAUAUUUUCAGGAGACAGGAAUGAAGAAGGAGGGAGAAAGGAUGGGAUCCCACACCCGGAAAAAGCCCUGCAGACUUUCGCCUGUGGCCCUGUCCGUCUCCUUCUUCUCUUUCCCAUUCUUCCCCCUUUUCUUCCUCUCUCUCCAAAUCCCUCCCCUUCUUUCCAAGGAAGGAACUUCUCUUCUUCCCUUUGCUCUUUCGCAGGGAGGCUUCUCUGCCGCCACCGCCUCCUUCCUUUUUGCCAGCCAAGGGAAGGCGAUGCAGAAGGAGUUUUUUUUUCCUGUGGCAAAGUCAAGAGGAGCAGCCGAGGCCGGAGCCAGAGCAGCCUUGGGCCAAAGCCGGGCCUGCAGACCACAGAGGGUGGCCGUGGGCUUCCUGCAUGAAUUUUGCCCCAUUGUCCUGCCUCCCUCUUGAGCCUACAUACUUCUUCAUAUGCCCAUAUGGAGUCGGCCAGAUUUAUGGAAUGUUAAGAAGUAUGUAUCGUUGGGAUGGGAUUGGAACCGUCGACUUCAAAGUCCUACAAAGUUUCCUAUUGGCAAGAGGUGAAUGGGAAGCGUCACGGAAGGAGCGGAUGCCUACGCAUAUGUGUCCCUAGGGCUGGUAAAAAGGAACCAGAUCGACUGGCAACUGGAUUUGGUCCCCUUCAACCAGCUGUGGUGGCACGUGAAAGCAGCCGCUGGAAGCCUCACCGGGUUGCAAAAUCCUCUCCACACUGGAAUUACCGUAUUUAUUGUAUUGUAUUUUCUGCCUUUCUCCCAAGGUGGCACCUUGCCUAAGAUUAAAACAACAUGCAUUCAAAGCAAUACAUGACUUUUGUUGUUGUGUGUCUUUGGGGCAUUUCUGGCCACCUAAGAGGGCUUUUCUUGGCCUUUUAGUGCCCUGAUUUAUUUAUUUUGUGUCAAAAACAUUGCAUAAUAAAUAAGUUUAAAAGUGAUAAAAUAAAGGAAUCACAAACAGCUAAAUAGUUUUGGACCAAAAACGGGCAGCAGCAAUCGCAUUGUCUAUAGCUUUAAACAACUCCUCCUCCGUGCAUGAGGUAGGGCAUUGUGGGCAAGCAUGCAUACGCUGUUUCCCCGAAAAUAAGGCAUCCCCAGAAAAUAAGACCUAGUAGAGGUUUUGCUGAAUUGCUAAAUAUAAGGCCUCCCCCGAAAGUAAGACCUAGCAAAGUUUUUGUUUGGAAGCAUGCCUGCCGAACAGAAUGCCAGAGCUUGCAUGAUCGGUAAAUGUACGUACCAUAGAUUGUUAUACAUGGAAAUAAUGGUAGUAACAAGAAAUUCUUGAUAGGAUUCACAGCUUGUUUGGUUAUGCUGUUUUGUGAUGAGACUCGAUGAGAUAUUCAUUGAAAAAAUAGAACAAAAUGUGCUGUAGGAUGUCCCGCAAAAACAGAGUGUUUGCAAUUGAAUAAACUUUCCCUGUGUGUUUAUAAUAGAAUCAAUUAGAAAAUGACAUUUAUAACUCAGGAACAAAAAUCGUGUUACAUAGUGUUAUUACUCAGCGGUUCAACUGGGACGCUAGGUGGCAGCGAUGGAGUGCAAGAAGGAAGCAGUAAUGUGUUGUCGAAGGCUUUCAUGGCCGGGAUCACAGGGUUGUUGUAUGUCUUUCGGGCUGUGUGGCCAUGUUCCAGAAGUAUUCUCUCCUGAUAAUCUCCCUAAUUAGCAUUGGAAAGGUUUGUCUCUUGCCUGGGGGGCAUCCUUUGUUCAGAGUCAUUAGCCGUCCUUGGGGCUCCUCUGCCCUCAGAGUGUUGCUUCUCAUCUACUGUUCUGAUUUUUGAGUUUUUUUUAAUACUGGGAGCCAGAUUUUGUUCAUUUUCAUGGUUUCCUCCUUUCUGUUGAAGUUGUCCACAUGCUUGUGGAUUUCAAUGGCUUCUCUGUGUAGUUUGACAUGANNNNNNNNNNNNNNNNNNNNNNNNNNNNNNNNNNNNNNNNNNNNNNNNNNNNNNNNNNNNNNNNNNNNNNNNNNNNNNNNNNNNNNNNNNNNNNNNNNNNCCCAGGCAAGAGACAAACCUUUCCAAUGCUAAUUAGGGUGAUUAACUGAAACAUUAACGCUGGCUUCCAACUGACAAAGGACUCUUAUCACACCCUGGACUCUCCACAGAUAUAUAUUUACCUUCCUUGUCUAGUUUAUCCAUGCCUCAUAACCUCUGAGGAUGCCUGCCAUAGAUGUGGGCGAAACGUCAGGAGAUAAUACUUCUGGAACAUGGCCACACAGCCCGAAAGACAUACAACAACCCUGGAAGCAGUAACUUCUACAAGAAAUAAAUGGGAGUUUUAGAGCCAACUCAAAUAGUCUCUUUAAACUUGCAAUGGCCAACAUGUCCUCAAAAAAUACACCGAGGACUAGAAAGGUAUUGACAAGCAAGGAAGCAAAAUGAGUACUGUUUUUCAUUAUUAUCCGAGGUCCUAAAGAACACUUGUUUGGGUUUAAUUCCCUCUAUUCCAGUGAUAGUUGAUCACAGGAAUACAUGUGUUAAGAUGGUUGGUUCUGAAUACAAAUUUAAGGUGGUGUGGUGGGUUAAACCACUGAGCUAUUGAACUUGCUGACUGAAAGGUUGGUGGUUCGAAUCCUGGGAGCAGGGUGGGCACCUGCUGUUAGCCCCAACUUCUUUUUUUAUUUAAUAUUUUUAUUUGAUUUAUGUGAAAUAAAUACAUCAAUUGUUGGAGAACAACGUAUAGAUAGAUAGAUAGAUAGAUAGAUAGAUAGAUAGAUAGAUAGAAUAGAAAUCUAGAAAAUUUAAGAGAAAACAAGGGUAUGGGGGGGAGAGAGAGAGAGAAGGAGGAAAAAAAAUAAACACAAAAAACACAACUCCCCCCCCCCCCCCAAAAAAAAAAAACCUUUGUGUGUGUUGUGCUUUGGAGAUUCAUCCUUCGAUUUCUUGUUUUUUCCUGUUUAUUUAUUUCAGUCCUCCUUCUUUAAAAUGAUCUUUAUAUAUAAGGCAGAUCUAUGUCAAAGUCCAGUUUUCUUUUCCUCAUGAAUUCUGCAAAAUUUGUCCGGUCUGUUUUAUUUUUCCUGUCUCUUAUCCUUUGUGUUAGGAUAUCCAUUUGUAUAAUAGCCAGUACUUUGAGUAUCCAUUCUUCUGUAGUUGGAGUCUUUUUUCCCUUUCCAUACUUUUGCCAGUACAAGUCUGGCUGCAGUACUGAUGUAAAAGAACAUCCUAUCUUGGCUUUUAUUUAAUGUGGAGUUAGAAAACCCUAAUAAAUACAUUUCUGGUUCUAAUUUAAAUGUAAUUUUUAUUAUCUCUUGUGUCAUUUGAUGUACUGUUAGCCCCAGCUUCUGUCAACCUAGCAGUUCAAAAACAGGCAAGUAGAUCAAUAGGUACUGCUCCGGCGGGAAGAUAACAGCACUCCAUGUAAUCAAGCUGGCCACAUGACCUUUGACUGUAUAUGCCAGGGGUCCCCAAACUAAGGCCCGGGGGCCGGAUGUGGCCCUCCAAGGUCAUUUACCUGGCCCCCGCCCUCAGUUUUAUAAUAUAUUUUAUAUCAGUUUUAAUAAUAUAAUAUAUUGUAUAUACAUAUAAUAUUGAUAAUAAUCUUAUGUUAUACAAUAUAAUACUAAUAGUAAUACCAUAUAAUAAUAUUAAUUAUAUGUUAUAUAUUACAUAUUAUAUAAUAGUAUAGUGGUAUAGUUCAAUAUAGUAAUAUAUAAUGCUAAUAUUGUGCUAAGCUAAUAAUAUAAUAUAUUGUAUGUACAUACAGCUGCUCUGAGUCCCCUUCGGGGUGAGAAGGGUGGGAUAUAAAUGUAGUAAAUAAAUGCAGUAAAUAAAUAGUUAAUUUUAGACUUAGGCUCGGGCAAAGUCUGGCAUUACUUGAAGGCACACAACAGCAACAACAAUCCUAAUUAACUUGACUAUCUCAUUGGCCAGUAGCAGGCCCACACUUUCAAUUGAAAUCCUAAUAGGUUUAUGUUGGUUAAAAUUGUUUUCAUUUUUAAGUACUGUAUUGUUCUUUCAUUGUUGUUGUUUUGCACUACAAAUAAGACAUGUGCAGUAUGCAUAGGAAUUUGUUUGUAUUUUUUUUUCAAAUGAUAAUUCGGCCCCUCAACAGUCUGAAAGAUUGUGGACCGGCCCUCUGCUUAAAAAGUUUGGGGACCCCUGGUAUAUGCUGUGGUUUGCAACAUGCUUUCAGCCACAAAUGUCAUGUGUUGACACCUAAAACAAAACCAAGAAGUGUAAGCAUAUAUACAAUAAAAAUACUGUGAACGUUGGUUUUAUACGUUUAUGUUUUUCUUUAGCUUGUUUCCAUGAAUAACACUAUAUAAAGCAACAUUCUUCCUUGCUCCUCUCCACCUGAGAAAACCAGUUAUUUUUACUGGAUUCUUCCUCAAAGGGGAAUGAAAUGUGCUGUCAUUUUUGACUGAAGAACCUUAAGAAUGAAGGCCCUCCAAGACUCCUGGGCCACAACAGCCCUGCUCUGUGGCUCCUUUGAAUUAAUGCAGUUUGAUGCCGCUUUAAAACAUUUAUAUUCCGCCCUUCUCACCCCGAAGGGACAUGAAAUAAUUAUAAGUAUACAAAAAUAUUAAAACAUUAAAAUCAUUAAACAUUAAAAUCAGUUAUAUCUACUUUAAAAUAAUCUGUUUAAACCAACUCAGGACACCAUGCUGGCUCCGGUUAGCAGAGUAGGUUUCCUAUUAUUAUUAUUACAUAUUAUAAUAUUAUAUAAUAUAUAAUAUAAUAUAGUUUUUUAUAUAUAUAUAUAUAUAUAUAUAUAUAUAUAUAUAUAUAUAUAUGAUAUUACCAUAUUAUAUAUCCAUUUUUAUAAUUUAUAAUAUUAUAUAUUAUAUCAUAUUAUAUAAUAUAGUUAUAUAUACAGUAGAGUCUCACUUAUCCAACACUCACUUAUCCAACAUUCUGGAUUAUCUAACGCAUUUUUACAGUCAAUGUUUUCAAUACAUCGUGAUAUUUUGGUGCUAAAUUCGUAAAUACAGUAAUUUCUACAUAGCAUUACUACAUAUUGAACUACUUUUUCUGUCAAAUUUGUUGUAUAACAUGAUGUUUUGGUGCUUAAUUUGUAAAAUCAUAAUCUAAUUUGAUGUUUAAUAGGCUUUUCCUUAAUCCCUCCUUAUUAUCCAACAUAUUCGCUUAUUCAACAUUCUGCCGGCCCGUUUAUGUUGGAUAAGUGAGACUCUACUGUAUAUAUAAUAUUACUAUAUUAUAGGUCCCUUUUAUCAUUUUAUAUUAUAUGUUAUAUAAUAUUAUAGUAAUAUAUAUAU
This 5322-nucleotide long non-coding RNA is filed under the name Anolis carolinensis (green anole). Its description in RNAcentral is "lncRNA (ENSACAG00000039835.1)". The stretch from base 706 to 777 matches the Rfam family "mir-133 microRNA precursor family". The record is from RNAcentral. Lineage: Eukaryota; Metazoa; Chordata; Lepidosauria; Squamata; Anolidae.